CCUACGGGAGGCUGCAGUGGGGAAUAUUGGUCAAUGGACGCGAGCCUGAACCAGCAACGCCGCGUGAAGGAAGACUGCUUUCUGGUUGUAAACUUCUUUUAUCAGGGACGAAACACGUGACGGUACCUGAUGACUACACCACGGCUAACUACGUGCCAGCAGCCGCGGUAAUACGUAGGUGGCAAGCGUUAUCCGGAUUUACUGGGUGUAAAGGGAGUGUAGGCGGGAGGGCAAGUCAGAUGUGAAAGCUAUGGGCUCAACCCAGAGCCUGCAUUUGAAACUGGAAUUCUUGAGUGCUGGGGAGGUAAGCGGAAUUCGGGGUGUAGCGGUGAAAUGCGUAGAUAUAAGGAGGAACACCAGUGGCGAAGGCGGAUUGCUGGACAGUAACUGACGCUGAGGCGCGAAAGCGUGGGGAGCAAACAGGAUUAGAUACCCGGGUAGUC
This 443-nucleotide ribosomal RNA is filed under the name uncultured bacterium. RNAcentral's name for it is "partial 16S ribosomal RNA". It matches the Rfam family "Bacterial small subunit ribosomal RNA", at positions 338 to 795 of the family's 1533-position model. The record is from RNAcentral.